CAGUCGCCGCGGUAAUACGUAGGUGGCAAGCGUUGUCCGGAUUUAUUGGGCGUAAAGCGAGCGCAGGCGGUCAAUUAAGUCUGAUGUGAAAGCCCCCGGCUCAACCGGGGAGGGUCAUUGGAAACUGGGAAACUUGAGUGCAGAAGAGGAGAGUGGAAUUCCACGUGUAGCGGUGAAAUGCGUAGAGAUGUGAAAGAACACCAACGGCGAAAGCACUCUGCUGGGCCGACACUGACACUGAGAGAUGAAAGCUAGGGGAGCAAAUGGGAUUAGAUACCCGCGUAGUCCCUGUCUCUUAUAA
RNAcentral lists this ribosomal RNA (301 nucleotides) under uncultured bacterium. Its description in RNAcentral is "partial 16S ribosomal RNA". It matches the Rfam family "Bacterial small subunit ribosomal RNA", at positions 509 to 809 of the family's 1533-position model. The record is from RNAcentral.